ACGAAGCCGCGCUCACUUGGCUUCGGAUAGAAGCCCCCGCGCACUUCGCUAGGGUUCUACCCCCGCAACGCACCGCCGCCGCCGCCAAGCCACCGGACCGCAGAUCCGGACCCAACGCACCGCCGCCGGACCCUCUCCUCGCCGCAUCGUCGUCUUCGCAGUGACACCGGCGCCCUUGUCCGUCGUGCUGGUUCCUCCGGUCCCCGACCAUCGCGUUGGCAUCUUCGCAGAUUUGCGUAUCGAGUUGUUCGUCUUCGGUUCCAAGAUCAAGUGCAUCCAAGGUACUUUCAUACACAAUUUCUUGCGCAAUUUACUGUCCACAUGGGCACAACCAAUUUAUAUAUGUGCUGUCAUUUGUGCAUAUUACUUGGAGAUACGAGAGCUGGGAUGGUCAUAUGUUUAUUGUUACCUAGGGAUACCAUUGUU
Molecule: long non-coding RNA, 426 nt
Organism: Zea mays
Lineage: Eukaryota; Viridiplantae; Streptophyta; Magnoliopsida; Poales; Poaceae
Exons: 3
Source: RefSeq, a predicted model, not a curated record